This 497-nucleotide ribosomal RNA is filed under the name uncultured bacterium. Its description in RNAcentral is "partial 16S ribosomal RNA". It matches the Rfam family "Bacterial small subunit ribosomal RNA", at positions 28 to 507 of the family's 1533-position model. The record is from RNAcentral.
GAUGAACGCUGGCGGCGUGCCUAAUACAUGCAAGUCGAGCGAACAGACGCGGAGCUUGCUCCUUUCACGUUAGCGGCAGGCGGGUGUGUCACACGUGGAUAACCUCCCUCUCAUACUGGGAUAACUUCGGGACUCCGGCGCUAACUCCGGAUAAUAUCUUCAACGGCAUGGUGCAAUAGUGAUAUUCGGUUUUGCUGUCACUUCUAGAUGGAUCCGCGCCGCAUUAGCUAGUUGGUAAGGUAACGGCUUACCAAGGCGCCGAUGCGUAGCCGACGUGAGAGGGUGAUCGGCCACACUGGAACUGAGACACGGUCCAGACUCCGACGGGAGGCAGCAGUAGGGAAUCUUCCGAAAUGGGCGAAAGCCUGACGGAGCAACGCCGCGUGGGUGAAGAAGGUCUGCGGAUCGGAAAACUCUGUUAGUAGGGAAGAACAAAUGUGUAAGUAACGAUGCGCGUUUUGACGGUACCUAAACAGAAAGCCCCGGCUAACUACGUG